CUUGAUUCAAGUAAAUUAAAAUAAAAACUCAAUAGAAAAACUUGUGUUGUAUUUGAAGAGAUGGCUAAAGUUUGUUUUGCAACAUUGUUCUUGGUUUAUGUCAUUCUAAUUGCAAUUGUUGGAGUGUUUGUUUUGCAUGGAAGUUGCAGCUGAAGUAUGCAACAAGCGUUCAGAUUGUUAUUAUCAUUGUUAUCCAUUUACUUGGGCUGCUAGGUGCAAAGAUGGAGAAUGUUACUGCAAUUAGGGAUAUGAAAUUUGUAUUCAAAUUUCUUCGAAUCGAUUAUAUGAAACUCUAAAGCACUUAUAUGUGCCAACAAAAUUAAAUUAAGGUUUCAAAGUAUUGGUUAUUAUACAUGCAUGUUCUUGAAUAUAUGUUGAAUAAUAACAGGGAAAAGACAUAAUUUUCCGUA
Long non-coding RNA from Capsicum annuum, 410 nucleotides. RefSeq lists it as uncharacterized. The transcript has 2 exons. The record is from RefSeq and is a predicted model, not a curated record. NCBI's taxonomy places the organism in Eukaryota, Viridiplantae, Streptophyta, Magnoliopsida, Solanales, Solanaceae.